Molecule: long non-coding RNA, 604 nt
Filed under: Vigna radiata
Lineage: Eukaryota; Viridiplantae; Streptophyta; Magnoliopsida; Fabales; Fabaceae
Description: long non-coding RNA (VRAD_LNC000516)
Source: RNAcentral
AAGUGUCAAAAAUUCAGAGCUGGUAANCGUUUUCAGGGCACCAAAACGCACACACCAUUUACCAUCACUCUCACGUGGCAUUCACUACAUGUUCAACAGAAAAUGGCCCUACGAAAAAUAUUCUGAGAUCAUACACAGAGGAAGCAUUCAUCACGUUACAGGGAAAAGAACUUCACCAUCAUUCACACACCNGUAACCACCCCAAUAGGUUCACACACACUCCUUCUCAAGAUACCACACUAUACACACCACUAGAGACAACCACAAUCAUCAGGNCACCUUCAAUGCCAACCAUCAAGCAUCUCCCACACUACCGACUAGGCAUUCCUCCAUGGAUUCAUCAGACGCCAUAAUCAACCAAAAGUGAAGAAAGAGCUUGGAGGCAAGCAUAUCAACAGCGUAACAUAGACUCAGGGUACCAUUUUUCACCCUAUCAAAGAAACCACAAUUCGCCCUCNGUUAUUCACCCUUCACAGAUCCUACCAGCACCUUUCCAUCAUCUUCACCGCACCUCAUCACCCAACACACACAGGAUACCCCUUUGGGCUCACCAUUCUAGCUUAUACCAUGUUUCCCAUGACCAUUUUAACAACCCAUCAAAAAA